UACAGAGGGUGCUAGCGUUGUUCGGAAUCAUUGGGCGUAAAGGGCGUGUAGGCGGUUUGUUAAGUCAUGGUGUGAAAUCCCUCGGCUCAACCGGGGAACGACGCAUGAAACUGGCAAGCUAGAGUACCAAAGAGGGGGGUGGAAUUCCCGGUGUAGCGGUGAAAUGCGUAGAUAUCGGGGAGGAACACCUGCGGCGAAAGGCGGGUUGCUGGGCUGACACUGACGCUGAGCGCGAAAGCUAGGGAGCGAACGGG
This 254-nucleotide ribosomal RNA is filed under the name uncultured bacterium. RNAcentral's name for it is "partial 16S ribosomal RNA". It matches the Rfam family "Bacterial small subunit ribosomal RNA", at positions 524 to 776 of the family's 1533-position model. The record is from RNAcentral.